Molecule: non-coding RNA, 285 nt
Organism: Pelobates cultripes (western spadefoot toad)
Lineage: Eukaryota; Metazoa; Chordata; Amphibia; Anura; Pelobatidae
Source: the annotation of a GenBank genome assembly
GUAUCUUUGUAAUGCGUUUAGCUUCAGUUCGCUUUUUAAGUCUGCGGGCAAGCAUGGUGUCCGCCUUGUUGCCCUUUUCAUAAUAUUUUUGUUUGAGCCACAUCAGAGCUUUGGCUGUGUCUGCUUGUGUGAGGGUGUUAAGGAGGUUUCUGGUCGCCGUAAGUUUGGACAGGGUGGUCGGGUUAGGGUUCUUUUUGUGUUCCGUUUCUAGGCGGCGGAGUUCUGUCAUCGUUUCUAGUAUUUGUCGUUGUGUUUGUUUUUUUUUAUGGGUGGCUAGGUUGAUGA